RNAcentral lists this ribosomal RNA (524 nucleotides) under uncultured bacterium. Its description in RNAcentral is "bacterial SSU rRNA". It matches the Rfam family "Bacterial small subunit ribosomal RNA", at positions 8 to 526 of the family's 1533-position model. The record is from RNAcentral.
AGAGUUUGAUCAUGGCUCAGAUUGAACGCUGGCGGCAUGCCUUACACAUGCAAGUCGAACGGCAGCGGGUUCCUUCGGGACGCCGGCGAGUGGCGAACGGGUGAGUAAUGCAUCGGAACGUACCCAGUAGUGGGGGAUAACUUACCGAAAGGUAAGCUAAUACCGCAUACGCACUGAGGUGGAAAGCAGGGGACCGCAAGGCCUUGCGCUAUUGGAGCGGCNGAUGUCGGAUUAGCUAGUUGGUGGGGUAAAGGCCUACCAAGGCGACGAUCCGUAGCGGGUCUGAGAGGAUGAUCCGCCACACUGGAACUGAGACACGGUCCAGACUCCUACGGGAGGCAGCAGUGGGGAAUUUUGGACAAUGGGCGCAAGCCUGAUCCAGCCAUGCCGCGUGAGUGAAGAAGGCCUUCGGGUUGUAAAGCUCUUUCGGCCGGGAAGAAAUCGUGGUGGCUAAUACCUGCCAUGGAUGACGGUACCGGACUAAGAAGCACCGGCUAACUACGUGCCAGCCGCCGCGGUAAUAC